Molecule: unclassified non-coding RNA, 1026 nt
Filed under: Hevea brasiliensis (rubber tree)
Lineage: Eukaryota; Viridiplantae; Streptophyta; Magnoliopsida; Malpighiales; Euphorbiaceae
Source: RNAcentral
CCUUCUUGUUUUUAAAUCAUCCGCGUUGCUUUCCCUCUCCUCUCAAUCCCUUUUCUCCAACAAACGACAUGGGCAAAAAGAAACCCAAGGAACUAGACGCAGCCUGCGUUUCGCAAAACGACACCGUUCCUGCUUCCUCUGACAUUUUCAAGAGCCUUUUCGGCGAUGUUGAGCAAAACGAAGCCGCUUCCUCCAUCUUCUCCGAUAGGAAUCCGUUCAAGAGAAAACCCCAAGAGUCGAGCUCUGGAUUAGGUAAUGUCAAAUUCAAUGAAAGCCCUAAACUUAGUGAUGCUAAAGAUUCCAAUCUUGAUUUGGUGAAGAGAAGGCGAAACGAAGAGAAAAAGCACAAUCUUGAUGAAGUUUCAAUGGAAGGAGAAGCCAUAGGGACUCCUUUGGUUGCCAGGAAAAUGAAGAAACUAAAAAUCCAAAACUCUGGUUUCAUUUCUGAGGUGUCAGAAGGAAACCCCAAUAUGGGUUCUGGUUCUCGUCCAGAAAACGGGAACAAAAACUCUAGCUUGGUGGUUGAGCCAAAAGCAGAGAUAACCCAUAAUGAGAAGAGCAACAAGCGAAAGAAGAGAAAGAGAGAUGAGUUGGAGAGAGAGUACGAGACCCAAAAGUAUGGCCCGAAGCCCGAAGAUGAUGCAAAUGUAGUUAUUGUUGGAGAGAAGAGGAAAAAGGUGGAUAAUGAAGCGGAUUUGUUAGUUUCAAAGGAUGGAGAGGAAUUUGAUGAUGAGAGUAAGCUCUUGAGGACGGUGUUUGUGGGUAACUUGCCUCUGAAGACGAAGAAGAAGGCGCUAAUGAAGGAGUUUGGCCAGUAUGGGGACAUUGAGUCUGUGAGGAUCCGGUCUGUACCCAUUGUAGAUACCAAGAUACCGAAAAAGGGGGCCAUUAUACUGAACAAAAUCAAUGAUUCUGCUGACAGUGUCCAUGCUUACGUUGUUUUCAAAGCACAGGAAUCUGCAGAGGCUUCUCUGGCCCAUAAUAUGGCUUUGGUUGGAGGACAUCACAUUCGUGUUGACAGGGCAU